CAUUGACCCUCGCGCGGUUUCGCAUCGUACGUUGCUGAAUUUAUUGUGUCUGUAGAUUUGUGGGUCACUGUACUAGCUGACGUCAAAUUGGGGGCCCAGACGACGAUGACGUCAUCUUAUCAAAUUAUACUAGCCGGUGAUUCUAGUUCUAUUUUAUAAUAACGUGUUCACAAAACGAGUACUAUGAAUUAUAAUAGCCGCCCUAAUCUGACCUGACUUAGUUUGAAUAAUAGUGUAAGUAAUCGUGUCUAUCAUGUGUGCCGAGGUCAUUGCUAUUUGUUUAUUUUUUUGUUAAUUCAAGGGCGUCCUCGCGGCCGGCACGAGUAAUCAUCGACGCGUCGCGUCGCAAAUAAAUAUUUUUUGUUGUGUUUGUGUUUAGUGUAGGAAGGCACCUUACAGUUUAAAGGCCUCUAUCAACCGUGAACUACUAUUCCACAAGUGUGUAGUUAUUAAUAACAAAUAUUAAUUGAACAUUAAUAGCAAUACGCGACUCCAUCGUAAAGAUUCUUGUCUAUUGUCGCGGAGGUUUUCGACCUUUGCAAAAUGCGCGGCGCGUCGCAUAUUCAAUAGAACACAAACUGUUUUUUUUUUCUUACUAUAGACACGUCUGGCCCUGGUGUGAGCUGGUGUCACAGAUGUGGCUAUUAUAGAGUGUUAUGUAGUGGAGGUUGUAGCGCGCUUUUUGAAAAUUGUAACGCAAUUUUUAGUACUUUUUUAUUGUACGUAGUUUUUAUUGUAAUUGAAGUAAAAAAACUAGACACACAUAAGUAGAUGUUAAAGUUCCCUACCUUUGCAUAAAUAAAAAUAUUCACAACACGUUUAGUAUGCUGAAGUCUUGAUUUUACUUCAGUGCAGCAUCACUGCAGCAACAGCAUGCAGCCAAGUUCACGUUGCUGCCAUGGAUUUCAUGACAGUUACAUAAUUCGAAUAAUAACACUACCACGCACACAUGCACUAUUGUGAAUCAAUAUAGAGUUCCUCAUUUCUAAUUUUCCAACGUUUACAUAGUGCGUCGAAGACCGGCCUCUUGAAUAUGUGGAUCAUUAACUGGGGGCGUUAGUUUUAGCGUGUUGCCAAUCAAACGUAAUGAUGACGUAUCAACAAGAAUAACAAGUCAUGUAGUUGUAGUAGUGUGCGUACUUCCUUCUAUUCGCGAAAAGCGGUAGAGUUGAUCUAUUCUUGCUUCUAUUGGUUCACAAUUAGGAAUUCUUAGCGUUCCUACGCUUUAAAAUCUCUAAGCGAUGAACUAAAUCCUUGACUUCUAAUAUUAUUGCAUACUACUGUGAGUAGGUAAUGCUAAUUGACAUAGAUAAUGUGCAACGGACCUACGUAAGAUGCUAAAAGUACAUCCAAAUCUUGUACUCAUAGAUAUAAAAAAAAAAAACUGGCAAAAAGAUGAAUGAUACUGAUAUUCAUUAGUUAAGUAAUCCUUGCUGCUACAACCUACUUGUAAUGUUUCAGCGUCAUUAAUGUAGUUAUGAAACUUUUUACAAAGAUGGGUAGGUCAGGUUCAUUUCUGAAUGAGCCUUUGAGCUUUACGAGAAAAUUAGCAUCGUGGAACGCAAAUACCUACGCAAUAGCUCUAUAAGUAUUUAUCGAUAUGCAUGAGCGAAAAUGUCUUCUCUUAUUUUUACUGAUUUUCUUUAAUAUUAAUCGUUUAAAAAAAACUAAAGGUUAAAGGUCAAACCUAAUUAAAAUAAUGCUGUGUUGUGAGUCAAAUACUACCAAAACAGUGUGAUUUUUUUAAAUCAUAUUACACGUCAAUGAUUUUGUUUAGGCGGGAAAGCGUAACAAACAAAUUCACUUUCCCUUUGUAAAACUAUGAUUUUUUUAUGUUUUAGGAAACAUCAUUUUUUCUUUAUUUGUUAUAACUACACGAAAUUAUUUAACUUCAUGUAAAUUAUGUAUACCAACAGAGAUUUUUUUUAACGUUGAUUAGUCUGCCUUUGGCCACCAGCCUACUUACUGCCAGGACGAUGAAGCGAAGAUGUGGCUGAAGAUGGAGCACACAGACUUAGAAAGUACCUAUUCACUGUGACCAAAAUUAUGAGAUUGAGAUCAUCAAAAUCUGAUAUUGAGAAGUGGCCAAUGCAAGAGAAAUACUCAUUCUAAAUUGUUUUAAUAAACAAAGUCACUUCUAAAAUUAGCCGCAUUGACAUACGUACGGAGAAAUGAAGCAAACCACAGCAACCACAGAUCAACAGGUGCAGUCGACGUAAUUUGUGAAUUCUUUAAAGAAAUUCCCCGAGCAUUCUCAAGUGGCAUGCACACAUUUACAUAUGGAUAUCUAUGUCCGACUCGUCUCUUUGCGAGGGAUAGCAGUGCAAAAAAAUAUUGUGUAAAAAUAAUUAAAUAUCAAUUGGAUUAUUAAACCAGAAGAAUAUUGGUUUGUUUGAAAAAAUUACACAGAAACUCUUUGCCAAAAGUAUCCUGUUUUUACUAUUUACCUGUAAAAACUGCAUGGAAAUUAGAAUAUAAUUCAUUUUAAACUUACAAGUGGACUAAGAGCAAAAUGCGACAUGUAAAGUUUUAAAAAUGCGUUGCAGGAGAAAAAUACUUGCUGUGAAUAAUGCUUUCAGAACACAGUAUCGAAUUAACACCUUCAUGCUCAAUGUGUAAAGCCGACCAAAUCAAAAUCACACUUAAUGAAUUGAAUGAUCCACUGAUAGAAUGCACAAAAAUGGCUGCAGUGCGAGAAGAAUGCUAACAACUAAAAAGCUUGCUCUGAUGAUGGCCACUACAACUGCCAAGAAUGACACUAAAGAAAAUAUUAUAAAGUUCACUUAUUGUUACUUUAAAAUACGUAACACUAAAGGAAAGAAAACUUAGUUAACUUAGACAUCAAACAGGAAUCUGGUUAGACAGACUGUCUGCCACCAAAGUUUGUUCACGACAAGAUAAUCCAGACAACUCCACUGGUUUGUUUACAAAUACUGGGCAAAGUGACGCCACAACACAACAAACUUUGUCUCUAGUGUUUCGUAUAUUUAGCGGCCUUUACAAUAAAAAAUGGUAUUACAAAAUUUCCAUUACAAAACUUACCUUAAUAGUGAAGAAUAGAAUCAAAUUUUGGCUUUAUCCUUCAAAGCGAAAAUACUGUAUCACCACGUUGUAAAUAACACAAAAAAUAUUAAGUUAACACCAACAAACUUAAAAAUUAAAACAAUGUAUAAAAUUUUAACGUUCAAAACUCUAUUUUUUAACUUGGUCUCAACUUUUUGGUCACACUCAUUUGGCAAUCUACUUAAGAAUAAAAUGUGAAUAAGAUUACGUGUAAUUGCACCAAAUAAAAUUUACAAUUCAAAAUUGGAAUUGGAUCGUCCCAUAGGACUGACCCUAUUUAACCUCAACAAUUGGGGUUUCUUAGUGGAAAAUAAAAGAACAAGAAUUGUCACUGGUCGUAAAAGAUUACUCUCACCUAUCACAAUUUCUCCCCAUUGUUCGGACAUCCAUUAAUUUUUUUAUUUCUUUAUGCCGUGGCAACGGGUUUGUCUGCUCUCCGAACAAAAGCAGAAUGGCUGAAAAGACGGCACGGUUAAAUUAUACAAUUCAUAAGACGGGUCCGAACGGAUGUAUGGAAAGUUCGAAAGGAACCUAUCCAGACAGGAGGGUGAAAGGUCUAAAUUCAUUGUGACAUCUGACCUCUCCUAUGCGUCUAUUAUGUAUCUAGGUUAUUUUGUGAAUAGGGGGCAUCUAUCUUUAAUUUAUUCACAAACCCUUAAUCUUUCUUUUUUGCUGAACGAUUGAUCCAAUGCAAAACUUUCUCACAAGAUGAAAGGGAUUCUUUUGAGUGAUUCCUGUUAUAACUUGCAGAUAAGGGGCCAACUGUGAUAAUAGUAGACAAACAGAAUUCGCAAUGUGGCAUUUAUUUCUGUUACUAAGUAAAUAUUUUAUUUACAUACCUACCUGUGUCAUUUUUAAAAGCCCCUAUACGUUUCUCAUUCCGUAUUUUUAAAGUACCUACUAAACGAGUACAUUUCAUAAACGUUACUAACAUGUAACACAUCCUAUUUGAAAAUAUUUUAACGCGUAACUAAACAAUAGAAAACUUAAUCUUGUUAAAUAAAAGUUCAAGUGGCACUUGUGUUAGAAAGCCAUUCAUCAAUUUCUGCGAUGCUCGAUACCAACCGCAACGAAGCUCCCAUGAAAGCUAGUCUUAGAAAUAAAAGCUAAUAAGUCCAAACACACGUUUGAAAGGCCUAUUCAGUUCUAUAAGCGUAGUACCACCCUACCAUUAAGAAAAAUCCAGUUGGGCCGCAACUUAGCAUGGGAAUGUUCAGGGGGUCAACGCCAUUCGUUUCGCGUACUUGUCCUGAGUAAGCAGUGCGUAUUAUUAUUUCGAUAGAUGUUUUUAUUUUAGGGUCUGAGAUCCGGUCUGAGCGCCCCCUCGCCGCCUUGCGGCCGGCUGACGGUGUCGGUCGUCUCGGCUUAUGCUCCAUUCGGUAUAUCGUCUUGUGAUGUACCUACACGACAAUUUCGUGUCAAAGAUGCAUUUCAAUUUAAAAUCUUCAUACUUGUCAUAAUUUUAUUAUGUUUAAAGUAUAGGUACAUAAAAGCAGAAACAGUAUUAAAACGUGGUAAAAUGUUGAAGGUCGAGACGAUUUAGUAAUGUUUGUUUGAACAUGUUUUAGUGCAUUACAAAUUAUCAGUUGGUCACCAGCAAGCAAGUUUUAGUACAUUAAAGAUAUAACGAGAUCUAAAUAUAAAACUAUAAAUCUAGGCUACUGAGAUACGGAAAGAGUAAAGACCGAUAAUGGUGCGUGUAAUAAGGUGACUAGUUAGACUGUAAAAUAUAUUUCAAGAUCAGACAGUAGGUACGCUUGUUAUGUCAAGAAAUGUUCCCAAAUAAAAGAUGGUCGAAUGUGCAAUACACCUCGACUCGACCGGUUCUUUCGAUCAAUCUCAGCCAUUGAAAUCGCGAAAGCUAUGGCCGGUGCGAAUUUCACACCAGUCUAGUCUAGACUCUAAUAAUGUCGCAAUAGGCAACCUAGGUCUGCUCGAUGCCUAGAACUGUGAGAAUAAAUAACGGGCCGCAACGCAUGAUUGAGCUCACUCGUUUUCUUACAAUCCAGUUUACAGUACAUUCAUGUGAAAAAUAUUGUAAAUUGUUAUGCAAUACUAGCUUUUGCCCGCGACUUCGUUCGCGUGGAAUAGUGACUUCCGGCAAAGGAGAUUGUCCAAAACUGGCUAUUUUUGAACAGGCUGCUCAACAAAAAUGUAAUUUACCAAUAAUUUUAUUUAUAUUUUAGUAAAUGUCUGAUCCUAAUAACUUUGUAUCAAUUAGCAGUAUAAAAAAUCACAUUUAUUUUAGUAUUUGUUAUGAUAACCAAGUCAGUUGACUUUGAAUUUGACUUCAGUGCUGUCAAUCUGUUGUGUUUUUCGUCAAAAUGACAGAUAUUAUUCGCUUUGUUCUUUUGCAUUGUGAGUGUUGUUUUUCUAAGUCUUCAAUGGAUUCUGAUUCUUCACUACUACUACCUACUAUGGCUAACACAUAAGAGGCGAUGGUUCCUAUACGAUUGAAUUAUGCAGAAAUACUGCCAGCAGCCUACUGGAAGGUUUCCCGCUCCCUUCAGUCAACUGAAGUUUAUUGCGUGGGAAAAUACAUAGUAGACACAUUAGUAGAAAAACAUAUUUUGUAUAUAUAUUAUAUGAGAAUAACACUGAAGGGAGGGCAGCUAUAAAACAAUAUUGCUGCAACUGCAUGGUGGGCCGUAGAACAGUAGAUUGCUGUGCACAUAUAAUGACUAUUAUUUGGUUAUUGAGCUGGGCAAGGUACCAGAAAAAUAUUAAUCCACCUGCCCAGUUGCUAGACCAUAUUUUAAUUACAUUUGAAUGAGAUUAAUAAAGAAUUUUAAUAAAAAAAUGUUUUAUUUCAUGCAUAAACAGCUUCAAUAAAAUGUAAAAAAAAACUAAAUAUAAAUCUGGAUACAAAACUAAGUUUGUAUCUUCAUUCUUACUGAUAUGAACUAUUAAAUCAAACAUAUAUUAUUAACUAAACUGCUUGUUCAAAAAUAGCCAAAGUCCCAUACAAAUUGGUCAAUCUCCUUUUGGUUUUAACCACAUAGUUCCCGAUCUCGCGGAAUCUCUUCAAAAAUGAGAUGUAUAAGAUAUUCCAGGGAACUCUUCAAAAAUCAACAUAAUGAGCUCUGCGUUUGAAUUUAAUAGAUGUAUACUCACUUAGGGCAUUGAAAAAAUAGUUUAAAAACGGACUUAAACUAAAGAUUUUUGAAAUAAAAACUAUCCUAUGUCCUUUCUAAGGUUCUAAACUAUAUCUGUACCAAAUUUCAACCAAAUCCGUCAAAUAGUUGCGGAGAUUAAUGGUAUAAGCAUAGAAUAGUGUUCGACGUGAUUCUUUAAUUUGACAUAACUUUUUUAUUUAUGAACCAAUUGACAUGAAACAAACACUAAAUGUUAAUUGAAGCCUACCACAAUAUAUUCGUGAAAACCGCAUCCAAUUCGGAUCAGCCGUUUCUGAGAUUAGCGCGCAUAGACGCACAGACAAACAGACAAA
Spodoptera frugiperda (fall armyworm) is the source of this 6511-nucleotide long non-coding RNA. RefSeq lists it as uncharacterized. Lineage: Eukaryota; Metazoa; Arthropoda; Insecta; Lepidoptera; Noctuidae. The record is from RefSeq and is a predicted model, not a curated record. The transcript has 2 exons.